Molecule: ribosomal RNA, 505 nt
Filed under: Pseudoxyrhopus ambreensis
Lineage: Eukaryota; Metazoa; Chordata; Lepidosauria; Squamata
Description: partial 16S ribosomal RNA
Rfam family: Bacterial large subunit ribosomal RNA
Source: RNAcentral
AACCUUUAGCAAAACAAAUAUUAAAGGCAAUGCCUGCCCAGUGAACAAUUAAACGGCCGCGGUACCCUAACCGUGCAAAGGUAGCGUAAUCACUUGUCUAUUAAUUGUAGACCCGUAUGAAUGGCAAAAUGAGGGCCUAACUGUCUCUUAUAAUAAAUCAAUUAAACUGAUCUCCCAGUCCAAAAGCUGGGAUACCAACAUAAGACCAGAAGACCCUGUGAAGCUUAAACUAAACUAUUAACCCGUAUAAUAACUCCUUUCGGUUGGGGCGACCUUGGAAACAAAAAGAACUUCCAAAUAAGUGACCUACCUCACACCCCAGGCCAACAAGCCCAGUAUAGACCCAGCAUAGCUGAUAAUUGAACCAAGUUACUCCAGGGAUAACAGCGCUAUCUUCUUCAAGAGCCCAUAUCAAAAAGAAGGUUUACGACCUCGAUGUUGGAUCAGGACAUCCUAUUGGUGCAGCCGCUAUUAAGGGUUCGUUUGUUCAACGAUUAACAGUCCU